Molecule: long non-coding RNA, 1604 nt
Organism: Sander lucioperca (pikeperch)
Lineage: Eukaryota; Metazoa; Chordata; Actinopteri; Perciformes; Percidae
Exons: 3
Source: RefSeq, a predicted model, not a curated record
GGUUAUUCAGGCUCUGUAACCAUUCCUCCCUGCUUGCCACCUCCACUGGCUGUGAUAAAGGAAUAAUCUGCAGAAUGAGUAAGCCGAGUAUGGCUGCAGCAGUGAAAGGAAGAUGGGACACAGAGCUUGAAGCGUAGGAGACAGCGAUGACCCAGGGGAUAUCAUACCAGUGCAGUCUGUGUGAGCGCUCUGAGGGUGCUGCUGGAGGGAGUCCAAAAGGACACAGUGUGAAAUGAACACAGCUCUGACCUCCCAGACACCCCCGACACAGCCAAUCAGAUCACUUCUCCCCGACACAUUGGGCACUAUAAUUGGUCAGUGGGAAAUAUGACCAGUGGGAAUUCAAGUGGCGGGAAAAAAAAAGAGGGAGGGAGUGAGGAGUAGAGCAGGGAGUAAGGGAGUGGUGCUAUGGCUCCUCAAUGCACUUUAACCGACCCUUUGCCCAGGACAGGACAGGAAAUCUCCAGAACAAAAGCUAGCUGUCAUCUCCGCCUGACAGGCUCGCUCUGAACAAAGCUGCUCUCAGCUGACUGACAAACCGACCAAUCCCUAAGGGAGGUAGCCUGUUGUAAUCUGGUUCUGUCUCACAAUUCAGAUGUCUCUGGUGAACGAAGCAAAAGAGCGUGCCCUGAACCCUCAAACAGGAAAUGAGUCCGAAUGAUGUUCCUUUCCCUGAGAUGGGGCCUCAGCUGCGGCCAAUAGAAGGUUGCAAACAACAUUGUGUGUAUAAAUACAAACAUGCCCAUAAACUGAUAUACACACAAAUGUAAAAAAAACCAAAAAAAAAACACAUAAAUGAAUCCACAGAAUGUCUCUCUGUUUUCCUCUCUUCUCUUUCUUUUAACACGUAGGUAUGGAUGUGUACACACCCUUCUCCCAGACAUCCCUGCUCACAGCUGCAUGCCCCGGGCCUUGUCCAGCCCAAACCCAGACUCACAUCAGCCACAUUCCACAGCCUCCCAAAGCCCCAGAGGGCAGCUUCACAGCUGGGCACCAAGCUGGGCUGUUCCCUGCCUCUCUGGCUCAACCUCUUUUACCAACCCCAUCCCCUCCUCCCCCCUUCUGCUCACCAUCUCACACACCCUAAAACAGAACAUAUCUUUCUUUCACCCCUGCAUCAGUGUUUCAAAUUGUUCUGCAGGAGAAAUUGUCCUGCUCUCGCUGCCAUCGGCUCAUUCAAAAUGUACAUGAUCAGGUUAAACCGAAGUGGCUGAGGACUACAACAACAGUGGAUCAAGAUGACAAAGAGUUGCUGGAAUGUUAAUGAGGUCUUUCAGAUUCUGCUGCCAUUGAAUAUUGUUUUAUUCUCUUAUUGCAGCUGGUUUUUUUUUUAAGGUGUGUCAUGUUGACAGGGGUAAAAAGACAUGUCUUCAUUUGUGACUGUGAGGCAGCAGCAGAGCAGUCAAUAGACAGUAUAUGAAACUGACCUCAUCAUGCAAUAAAUAAAGGUAUGGCACAAGUUGCAAACAGGAACCUGGUGAGAUACGACAAUUCUCUUUAUCAAUUCCUCCUCUUUUCGUACUUGUAUGCUCAGAAGCAACAUUAAGAGUGUGUGUGCUAUCAUUUCCCAAACUAUCAAUUAAAGGUGCGAAAGAGUUGACUGA